UAUAUAGAAUCAUAUUCAAAACAGUGUGGUCCUGGCCAUUGAUUGACGACCUAAAUUAUCCCAUUGACUGUGACAGAUUAGGUGAACGUUUGUCUGUAACGACCAUUGCUCACUUCUUACUUAUUAUAGAAUUCAAACUGUGGGGUCACCAAAGGUUCUUAACGCCUUUAAUAAUAAAAUAAUUCGAAAAAAUAUUCAGGAAUAACCUUUAUGUUUUGAUUUAUAUUAUUGAUAUAAAUCAACACAUCGUAUUAUUCCGGAUUCGUAUCUCGAACUGCUUUAUUUAGGUGUUGAGAACCUUUGGUGACCCCACAGAUUCAGUGUCUUUAAAAAGUACAUAGUGAGCAGUGAUUGUUACCGACAAACGUUCACCUAAUCUGUCCCAGUCAAUGGGAUAAUUUAGGUCGUCAAUCAAUGGCCAGGACC
RNAcentral lists this long non-coding RNA (426 nucleotides) under Mytilus galloprovincialis (Mediterranean mussel). Lineage: Eukaryota; Metazoa; Mollusca; Bivalvia; Mytilida; Mytilidae. The record is from RNAcentral.